AAUCAACGCUGGCGGCGUGCCUAACACAUGCAAGUCGAACGAGAAAGUGGAGCAAUCCAUGAGUAAAGUGGCGCACGGGUGAGUAACACGUGACUAACCUACCUUUUAGUGGGGGAUAACCUAGGGAAACCUGGGCUAACACCGCAUAACACUUACGAGUCAAAGCAGCAAUGCGCUGAAAGAGGGGGUCGCGGCCGAUUAGCUAGUUGGCGGGGUAAUGGCCCACCAAGGCGAUGAUCGGUAUCCGGCCUGAGAGGGCGCACGGACACACUGGAACUGAAACACGGUCCAGACUCCUACGGGAGGCAGCAGUGGGGAAUUUUGCGCAAUGGGGGAAACCCUGACGCAGCAACGCCGCGUGGAGGAUGAAGUCCCUUGGGGCGUAAACUCCUUUCGAUCGGGACGAUAAUGACGGUACCGGAAGAAGAAGCCCCGGCUACUUCGUGCCAGC
RNAcentral lists this ribosomal RNA (451 nucleotides) under uncultured Acidobacteriaceae bacterium. Its description in RNAcentral is "bacterial SSU rRNA". It matches the Rfam family "Bacterial small subunit ribosomal RNA", at positions 32 to 512 of the family's 1533-position model. The record is from RNAcentral. Lineage: Bacteria; Pseudomonadati; Acidobacteriota; Terriglobia; Terriglobales; Acidobacteriaceae.